GUACACAUCAAGAUAUUAUUGCAUGGUUAUUAAUUAACUCCUUAUUAUUUAUGUAGUAUAAUGUAUUGGCCGAUUGCUGAUAUAUAAUUAAAAUAAUGAUUCAGUGUCUGUGUCACUCAUUCAUCAUUUUUUUUUCUUUUCGUUUGCUUUUUUUAUUUAUCAAUAAAUAUUAAUUAUUAACUUGUUAGCGGAAGAGAUUUUUUAAUCCACUAUUUUUUUUUCUUUUUCAUUUCGUUCUCAUCCUUUAGUUUUUUAAAUUUAUUGGAUGGUUAAUUCUUUGCUUUACUACGUGCUACCUGA
Molecule: long non-coding RNA, 300 nt
Filed under: Glycine max (soybean)
Lineage: Eukaryota; Viridiplantae; Streptophyta; Magnoliopsida; Fabales; Fabaceae
Description: long non-coding RNA (GMAX_LNC004168)
Source: RNAcentral